This 857-nucleotide long non-coding RNA is filed under the name Homo sapiens (human). Its description in RNAcentral is "HSALNT0239519". The record is from RNAcentral. Lineage: Eukaryota; Metazoa; Chordata; Mammalia; Primates; Hominidae.
GCCUUGGAAGGGUAAGGCAACUUGCCUGAGCUCUUUCAGCUUAUAUGUGGGAAGGCAGGAAGUGAAACUCAACACCUCCUGGUACCAAAGCAAGACCACUCAAACCAGGAAACUGAUAGCUCUUCCAACAACCUGGUUAUUGGAACAGGACAGGUGGUCAUGGCUCCAGCUGCAACAAAUAGAGCCACUCCAUCCCAAUUUUGCACACACUCCAUCAUCAAAAACAGACUUACUCUGGUCCAGAUGUAACUCAAGUACUGUACUUUUUUGGCUAGUCUCAUCUUGAUUUCCUUUUGUUUUGCUUUUUCCUUCUGAUAUCUGUUGCAUAGCUGUAUCUGUGUCAUGCGUAGCUCCUGGAUGAAUCUCUUUGCAGCACCUAGCACUGUGUUAUAACCUAGUAAUAAAUAAGUGGUGGUAGUGCUACCUGGCUGACUGGACACCAAGCAAUAAAGAUGCCCAUGCUUAUCCACUCAGAGCAGCUGAUACCCCUUGAAAGACAGCUCAGAAGACAAAGAUGGAAAAGGAGAAUAGCAGACAGAUGUUGGUUACCUACUCUCCCUUCUCUCCCCAAUCCUCGUCACUGGGCAAGAGCCUCUUCCUUCCAGGCAGACAGGACCAGUGAGAGGGGCGGCAGAAGGACAUCCUAAACCCCUACCAGGUACGCAGUUACAAGCAGGAGCCUGAGCCAGAAGCACUGUGAAUGGAGACCUCCUUCCCUCACUUAAUGGCCGUGUGAUCUGAGACAGUUCACUCAGUUUACGUUUCCUCAUCUGUAGAAUGGGGAUCACAGUAAAACUCAUGGCCUACAGUUGUUUUGAGGAUGAAAUGAGAUGACACAUUUAAAGUGCUAACACCUA